Molecule: long non-coding RNA, 2698 nt
Organism: Cyprinus carpio carpio
Lineage: Eukaryota; Metazoa; Chordata; Actinopteri; Cypriniformes; Cyprinidae
Source: Ensembl
UGGUUGAAGAUUGUCCCAAAGCGCUUUCCGUACUUGCAAUUUCGCACAUGCACGGGACGACGCAUCCAUUUUCCACCUGUCCUUGGCCAACUUUUGUAAAUCUGUUAUCAUCCAUAAAUUAUUUGGCUCUGAAUGUGGAGGUGCAAACAGUUAAACUUAAAACUCAUUCGAAGUCGAAGUCAUGUUGAUGUUUUACAUUUAAGGACUACAGAGAGCCAGGUAAAGUAUUAUUCAUCAUCUGUAUUUAAUUUAAAUACGUGGAAUUAAUGUCUAAAUACUGUAUUUGGGUAUAAAACAAAUGAGCACAUAUUUAAUUGACAAAGGUUUGGAGGCAAUGUGGUAAGAAUCCAUGCAUGUGGUUGUUCUACUCUAUAUUACAAUGCACAUUACACAUACAUCCAUAUAAAUUGGUUACAGAUACAUUGAACCACCAACUAAAAACAUUUAGCCAAAAGCAAACUCAUGUUCCCUCUACACCAGGGGUGUCACACUCAAGUUUCAGAGAGGGCCAAAAUUAAGAAAUGGUACUGAGUGCCAAACAGUCUCAUAGUGCUGUCUUAAUAUUAUUAUUAUGGACACGCCAGCUCCACUUUUGAGGCAAACUGGAUAUAAUUGUACCACGGCCAGAUGUAGCCCACAGAGUUUGAGUUUGACAUGCCUGCUCUACACCAUAUGUGAUCAUUUUAAAUAUAUUUGUUUUAACUUAAGAGACUCGUAGUGAAUUUGUGUUUUAAUACAGGUAAAUGCAGAAUUCACCCUCAUCACCACAGUCCCCCGUUCUCAACCUUUAUGUCCCGACUGGAUCAUUACUAUAGCCAGCUAUUGAGGGUAUUCAAAAAGAAGGGGGGAACAGCAAGACGUGAUAUCGACAUAAUCAUUGCAGAAAUGGACAUGAAUCCCAGUGUUGAAGUACGACAGACAUGCAUCCUAAAGGCGUUGUGCGUCUACUUAAAUGAAAAGCCUGACAGCCUUAUUAAGGAGUACUGGGCUACUGAGGAUAUUGGUAUUGAUGCAAUGACAGAAAUGGAGAGACUGGCUUUGGGUGUCUACAUUGUUCGAUAUGAUGGAGCAGAUGCUUCAGAUCCACCUGAGGAUGUUGGCGUCGUCAUUGAAGGCUGCACAGUGCUGCGAGAUCUGAGAGAGGUUGCAAAUGGAUGUGCAGUCCUGUUUGGCUUGAUCUAGUGUUUAAACUUGAGCUAUCCCAAGGAGCUGCGAUACACUUUCGAAUUUCUUCAGAAAGUGUCUAUGGAAUUGGAUGGGAACAAGCUCUCCACUAAAGUGCAGGUCCUCAAAAACAAACUGCAUGAGUAAAAUCACCUGCACCAGACAAGACUGGACCUGGCUUUGGACACUUUAAUUGUGUUGACUGUUACUUUAUUUUUGGACUGCUGCUAGACAAAAUAAAGCUGUGAUCAAUGAUGGUUUGUAAUAAGCAGACAGGACUGCAGUUGGUCAUCGACUUGCUUGGGGAGGCUCAGUUCUUUGGAUUUUGGACUGCUGCUAGACAAAACAUCUAGCAAUCUAAAGACAAUGUUGGUUGUGGUAAUUGGCAUUUAAACUUCUCUUGUUUUCUGAUUUCUUCAGAAUCAAAAGAUGUGAAAUACAACAAACACUGGUUUGUUAUAAUGAAACCAUCUCAAACAAUUUAAGGUGAAGAUUGUUUUUUGUUAUGUAAACAUUGCUGAUUUUCUAUUUCUCCUGUUGAUGCAAACUAUAAACCUUGUAUUUUUCAUAAAAAUGUUCUUGAUAAGUCAGCAUGUAUGUAAAGUCUGAACUUAGUAUGUUCUAACGGUGAAGUGCGAAUUUUCUGCAGCAUAAAUCCUCUUGAUUGUAAACUUCAGUUAAUUUAACCUCCCUCCAUAUAGAAAACAAGGAUUUGCCUCUUUAGUUUUUAUUUCAGUAGGCAACACCUGUUAGACAUUGUUGACGUCAAAGUUCAGAUUUACUAUAAAGCUGUAAUGGGAUUGAACAUUAUCGGAUGGUGAAAGAUUCACAGACAAGUUUUAUAUUUUAUAUAUAUAUAUAUUUUUUUUUAUAGUGGUCUAUUCUUUGCACAUCUUUUUUUUUUUUUUUUUUUUGGAAUUCAUCCUUUUAAUGGGAAUUGAAACAUGUGAAGUGCUAAAGUCUACUGAGGCCUCAAGGUAAAAAAAAAAUAUUUGUUUAAAAAUAUAUUUUGUUCUUGGCAGGAGUUUGGCUCUCAAAAUUUCAACUAAAAUGGAAUGGUUAAAUAUAUUAGGCUACUGCAUAUACAUGAUUAUUUAGGCUCAUUGUGUUUCUGACAGUUUAAAAAAAAAGAAGGAUAAAUUACUGUAUAUCUCAUUGUCCCAAUGCCAAUGAUGUAUUUUGUGAUAAAAUUUGAUGAGACACAUCAAAUGAAAUCUGGCACAUAGUGGACAUGCAGUGCAACAAUCAUUUUUCCAUAUAUUUGAAAGUCAUGUUAGUCCGAGUUGUCAAAUUGUUUUUUUUUUCCUUGAGAAAAGUUUAUAGUUAAAGGAGUUUAUUAAGCUAAAAAACAAUAAGGAUUUGCCUCUAUUUUUUAUUGCGGCAGGCAAUACAUGUUAAACAUUCUUGAUGUUGUCAAAGUUCAGAUUCACUUUUGGGACUAUAAAGCUAUAAUGGGAUUUAACAUUAUCAGAUGGUGAAAGAGAUUCACAAACAAGUUUUAUAUUUUUGAAUUAUUAUUUAUAUUGAUCUAUUU